GGCUGGGAGUAUUUGGAGGAGAACCUAAAAGGAUGCAGGAAGUGGCAAAAGGGGGAAUUCUACUCCAGAGAUCAGCGGUGGCAGGGGUGAGGGGCACAUCUGCCCAUAUUUCUUUAUUUUUGUGACUGACAGACUGCGGUGAAUUCCUGGAAGUCAACCAGGAAGAAAGCACUUAAAGGUACAGCAUGAUCAAAAUUAAAAGACAGUCGGCGUUUGGUGGUGUCAGCUGGGACAAGCCUGUUGCCACACGAGCAGCUCUGAAAUGUAGGGUGCAAGCUCAGAAAACCUGGAUUGAAUGAGCAUAUCCUACAGCCAAAGGUUUGAGCUCCAUCAGUGAAACGGGAACAGCUGUGUGCUCUGCAGAGCAGCAUGGCUGUGGGGGAAAGGUCCAUCCCAGGUGUCUCCUGUUCCUGUGAAGGGGCUCCCCAUGAGACUGAGGUUGGUGAAGGCUACCACCUGCUGGCAGUGACAGACCUCUCCAUGAGUCCAAGUGUAAUUUGAAUCCUGUGUGCACAUGAUUUAGGGGGUGCGUGGAGAUGGGGAGCAUCGCCUUCUGUAUGUCCUUCUGUAGGCGAGUGACUGACUCAAGACAUCUCAGCGGUGCCCCUGCUGCUCCCUUGACAGCACCCAAGAUGCCAGAAGGCCCGUCCCGUCCGUGAGGAAGUUCCAGUUCCUGACCUUGCCUUUCGUGGGGCAGGUGCUGGCCCAGGCAGGAGGAAGCAGCCGACCGAUUAGCCUGAAUGAGCUGCAAGGACUGGAGCUCCAGGACUCCCAGGUGAGAUGUGCUGAAAGGCAGCCUUGUCUGUGCUUGUCAGCUCAGCCACAGACCCUGCUCCUCGCUCAUGCUGGAGCGCUGGCCUGGCCAGUACGGAGAGUGUUACCAUAAGGCACAGCAGCAAAAGAUUAACUUGGCUAUAGACAGGCUGAAGGGCCACCUACCCUGGCUACAAGGAAAAACAGAAAUGCACCUCUGAGUGGUGACCCCUGGGUACUCGCAGGUGGCUCUCUGUCUGACUCCAUCUGUACUUGUAAAACUGAGCUCCUGAAAAGGUUCAGGUGGAGCAAGACUGUCCAUGUGCUUUGCUUUCCAAAUGGUUGGCACUCUGAACAAAUUUAACUCCCUCCUGGAAGUUGAGCCUCUAAAGAUAGGCUCAACUUCCAAGGCCAAAUCAUCCUUAGCAGCUCUUACAGAGAGCCGCCAACAUGCACGGUGACAAAUCAGCUCUAAGCAGUGUGCUGGAAGCUGUUGGCACAGCAGUGAAGUGUGUGAUGUCUCUCCCCACCUGACUGCUGAGAAGAAGGGGUGUCCUCUCCUCCUCACCUCCUUGCUACUGCACAAAAGGGAGGGGAAGCCCCUUGGAGGCUGGAGCUAUGACAGCCUGCAAGGGGAAAGCCACAGGUUCCCAUGUUUUUCUCCUUUAAAGAAGAAUCCAUUUUUAAAGUUUGCUCACAACCCUUUCAUAUAUUCUUGCAACCCAGCUUUGGGUCACAAUCUAUGGGUUGAGAAAUGCUGGUCUACUGACCUCGGCAAAAGUGGGGCAGGGUGGGUCUCUGCCUUAAUAAUGAAUGACCCUUACCUGGGUGUCUAUGUUAGCAUCAGGUGAAUGUAGCAAGCCUGCUUUAUUACAUGGCAGGACAUGUUGAGCAGGAUCUGACUUGUAAACAGCUGUAUUUUUUUUUGUAGGGCUUGAUUCAUGUUCUCCAGGGCUGAACUGAUGAAAUUUGCGGCUGGGAAAAAAACCCAACUGUGGGCGCUUUCAUUCACAUAUUGUCUACUAACCUUGGGGUGGGAGGGGGUGAGGGGUAGGGCAGGAAGAGAGGUGUAUCCCGAAGCAGAGGGCAUUUUGCUGCCUGCUUGUUUUCAGGGGGGCACCUCAGCAUAGCACUGACUGUCUGAAACUUGCUGUUUCUGUCAAUGUUAAUGCAGUCAAUUUGCGACUUGUCCUUGAGUAAAGAAAGAGAAUCAGCAAUGUCUUAAUUGGCUGCAUAGAGCUGAGGCCCAGCGAGCUGGAUGUGGGUGGGAGGUUCCCCCCGUUCAGUCUGUUAGUAGCCUGUAUUCCUGGCUACACUGGAAAUGUUUCCUCCCCACCCUGAGGGCUACACAGAAAACUAAAUAGGAUAGAAAAGCUCAUGCUGAGUGUUCAGGCAGCCUGGCCCAGCUGCACCCUAACACCAUCCUGCAAGGCAGCGUCUUUGCCUGGAAGACCAUCGGCUCAUGCUAUACAAGAUCAUCCUUCUCAUCUCCCCCUGCGGCUUGUUGCACAUUCUGGCAUCUCCCUCUUUGCAUGGCCAGUCCAAACCUUGCCAGAUCUUCCCCAUGUCAUCUCCAGAGUCUGUUUGUCUUUGCCGUGCCUUCCCUGAAUAGGCAAAGUCAGGGUAUUUUCUCUAAUUUCCAUUCUGCUCCUUUUAAGGCUGGUUCUGCACUUUGAGAAGGGGGCUUCCUCAUCUUCUACAACUGCCGAAUACACUGGCGCCCCUCACCGACUGCCAAAUCCACCAUUGACAUCCUAUCUGCUGAGAUCCAUCAGGCACAGGCUUUGCAAACCUGUUGCAGGCUCGUGCCUGUCUGCUACACCCUUCUGGACUGGAGAUAUUUCUGGGGUCUGGGUAUACUGUAUGCUCCACCGGGGAGGGGAAAUGGGCUCCAAAGAGAGAAACACUAUGACUCAGUCUGAGAUGGAUCUCAGAUAUAUCAUUAGUGUAGACCCUGUGUGUUAAAUAUCCCCUCUGAGACAUGAGGCUUGCAGUUGACCGGUAGUAGCCAUGUAGUAGUCAUGUGUAUAUAGCACCUUCCAUGGACAGAUGUGCCUACCCUAUACCAAAAGGAAUGAGAUUGGGCUGAUGUAGCAGGGAGCUUGGUGCUCUUGCUACUUUAAGGGAAGGCAGGCGGCAGGAGCAGCUGGCUGCAGGUGAGGCAGAGGGCAAUCAAGGGGGCCACAUGAGCCCAAAGGGAUUGGACUUGCAGGAUAUAAGCCCAGGGCUCCAGCUGGGCAGGCAAUCCAGCCCUGGGGCCACGGAGGCAAGAGCUCCUGACCACUCUGCAGGGGGAAUCUCUGCUAAAGCAGCCAAACUGCUGGGGGUAAGGACCGGUGGUUUAGGACUGUGUGAGUGGUGGAGGUUUCAACUGGCCCAGGAGUGGGGCCAAGGUGCAAGGGAUAGGGACCAAGGCUGAGGAGCAGGGCCACAGCUAAAAAGUGAUGACAGCAUGCAGGGCCAGGGCCAGGGACCGGUAGCCCGAGCAGGGCGAGAAGCAGGGUCAGGGACCCAUAGACCAGUAGGGUUGCAGCAGAUCAGACGUGAGCUGGGAGAGAGCCAGACUGGGUUUGGGGCAGUCAGCUGAAGAGACAGAGGCCGGAGCCCAGGAGAGGCUGGGAUGGUUAAAGGCACAGGGUUGGAGGCCCCAAAAGUAGCAGACUUCUCCAGGUUCAGAGGCCGCAUUGACUAGAGUUGACCCUGGGGCAGAAGGACUAAUGGGGUGGACCCCGCUGAUCCCUCAAAGUCAGACAGAGGAGCAGGAGAGUCUCUCUGCCCUGCAGCCAUAGACCCUCCCUGCCUGCCAUGGUCCUCUCUCCUCUUGAGUUCCUGCCAUGGGGAAAGCUUCCUCCCAGAGCUCCACAACCACUGGUGGCGUGUGGUCCAACUAGCCCACCUCUAUGACUUGCAGGAAUAAGUGCUGUUGGUGCUGUCACAGCUCCCAUGCCCACAUGUGUGUGGAUCCAGGCCAGGCGUGCUGUGUGGCUGCCUCACUGAAGCUCCAGGCCAUUGGCAUUGCUGUAGGGAGAAGGGGUUAUCACUUCUAAGCACCCCUGGCUUAGUUUGCCGGCCUGUGACUCACUGAUGUGAACGGUUCUUGCUGUUGCAUCUUCAUUUCUGAACUUCUGCUUUCCCCUCUGCUCCAGGGAGCAUCAUGACGAAUGAGAUCUUGUACUUGGCAAAGAUCCACCCAUUAUCACAAGGGUCCCUCUUGGCUCCCUCCGAUUUCAACGCCUUGCUUCAUCAUGCCAUUCAGUUCAGCACCCACUGGCUGCAUAAGAAACUGCACAGGAAAGGAUUACACCCUCUGAUCUACCAGAAGGAGCAAUAUCCUCUUGGGGACAUGGUGAUGAAGGGAACUUCUGGUCCCCUACAUUACCUUCAGAGACUUACCUGGUGGUGCCCUCAGUGCCAGCCUCAUAUGCCAGCAGAAAGCAAAGGUCAUCCUCCUAUGCAUACCACUACAUCUUCCAUCCUUUAAAGGGAUUAAGGACAUGCUGUCCUUUCUUGGAGAAUAUUGCAUGAGGAUGAGGAUGGCUUGCAACACGCUGUAGGAUGCACUGAGCAGAAAUCGCUUUUCCAUGAAGACCAAAAAAGCAGAGAAAAAUUCAGUGUGUUUAAAAAGAUGGGGGAAUGGUUUCUAUGUCCAUGCUGCAUUGUAGGGAUCAGUACAGCAAGUCCAGGAAGUUCUACCUAAUAGCUGAAAAUACCUGUGUAACUCAGGAGGUGGAGCUACCCGCCAGCUGCAGCCAGGUCUCUGUCUUGGAGCCCUCCUUCCUACAGUGUGGAGAGUCUCCCUACAGAAGGACACCUGGAGCCUUGAAACCAUCACUCAGACACAACUCAGUACUUAACUAUAUACAAUUUAUUUACAUAGGGAGAAAAGGGGAGGUAGAAAAAAACAUAAAAAUCAAUAGGUAUACCCAAAAAGAGACUAAUAGCUAUUAUAUACUAAUAACUAUUAUACUUGCGCUAUAGCAGUAUGAAACCCCAAACCGCCUCUACUUCUGGAAGUUUGGGAGCAGUCUCUGGGGAGGGGUGGGGGGUCAGUGAGAGCACCUUACACUCAACUCU
Long non-coding RNA from Alligator mississippiensis (American alligator), 4827 nucleotides. RefSeq lists it as uncharacterized. The record is from RefSeq and is a predicted model, not a curated record. Lineage: Eukaryota; Metazoa; Chordata; Crocodylia; Alligatoridae. The transcript is spliced from 3 exons.